Molecule: non-coding RNA, 390 nt
Organism: Peromyscus maniculatus bairdii (prairie deer mouse)
Lineage: Eukaryota; Metazoa; Chordata; Mammalia; Rodentia; Cricetidae
Source: RefSeq, a predicted model, not a curated record
UAUAUGUGGCUCUGGCUGUCCUGGAAUUCACUGUGUAAACCAGACUACCCUUGAACUGACAGAGAUCCAUCUGUCUAUCUCUUCCUCCUGAGUGCUGGGAUUAAAGAUGUGCCAAACUCUGCCAGGUUUUCAACAGCUUCUUUGGAAAUUUGCAGAGGGGCUAAGAAAAUGAGAAGAAAUGGAAAACAUUUUGAAUAGCAAGAGAAUGUUGUAUGCAGAAUUUAGAUGGAACCACGGGAAUUCUGCAACACUGACAAACAACACAAACUAUGUGUUUAUUGAAGGCCACAGCAAGAAACUGGACAGAUACAUCUGAGCUGCCUGGAAGCAAGCCUAUGAGUCUCGUCUAUUUUUCUUUUGUUUUUAUUGGUGAUCUACUGAAGCAUUUUG